UGUGACUUAUGGAGGCACCUGUAGGA
Molecule: non-coding RNA, 26 nt
Filed under: Mus musculus (house mouse)
Lineage: Eukaryota; Metazoa; Chordata; Mammalia; Rodentia; Muridae
Source: RNAcentral